UACGUAGGUGGCAAGCGUUGUCCGGAUUUACUGGGCGUAAAGAGCGCGCAGGCGGUCUUUUAAGUCGAAUGUGAAAGCCCCCGGCCUCAACUGGGGAGGGUCAUUCGAUACUGAUCGACUUGAAGGCAGGAGAGGGUCGCGGAAUUCCCGGGUGUAGAGGUGAAAUUCGUAGAGUAUACUCGGGAGGAACACCCGGUUGGCGAAGGCGGCAGAUCCCUGGGGA
RNAcentral lists this ribosomal RNA (223 nucleotides) under uncultured bacterium. Its description in RNAcentral is "partial 16S ribosomal RNA". It matches the Rfam family "Bacterial small subunit ribosomal RNA", at positions 524 to 737 of the family's 1533-position model. The record is from RNAcentral.